UCUUGGCUCAGGAUGAACGCUAGCGGCAGGCCUAACACAUGCAAGUCGAGGGGUAACAGGGAAGCUUGCUCCGCUGACGACCGGCGCACGGGUGCGCACCGCGUAUGGAACCUACCUUCUACAGGGGAAUAGCCCAGGGAAACUUGGAUUAAUGCCCCGUGGUACCACGUUACGGCAUCGUUCUGUGGUUAAAGCCUUCGGGCGGUAGAAGAUGGCCAUGCGUCCCAUUAGUUUGUUGGUAAGGUAACGGCUUACCAAGACUACGAUGGGUAGGGGCCCUGAGAGGGGGAUCCCCCACACUGGUACUGAGACACGGACCAGACUCCUACGGGAGGCAGCAGUGAGGAAUAUUGGACAAUGGAGGAGACUCUGAUCCAGCCAUGCCGCGUGCAGGAAGAAUGCCCUCUUGGGUAGUAAACUGCUUUUAUACGGGAAGAAAAAGGGGCACGUGUGCCCUGUUGACGGUACCGUAAGAAUAAGGACCGGCUAACUCCGUGCCAGCAGCCGCGGUAAUACGGAGGGUCCGAGCGUUAUCCGGAAUUAUUGGGUUUAAAGGGUCCGUAGGCGGGCCGGUAAGUCAGGGGUGAAAGUCUGCCGCUCAACGGUAGAACUGCCUUUGAUACUGUCGGUCUUGAGUUAUGGUGAAGUUGCCGGAAUAUGUAGUGUAGCGGUGAAAUGCAUAGAUAUUACAUAGAACACCGAUUGCGAAGGCAGGUGACUAACCAUAUACUGACGCUGAUGGACGAAAGCGUGGGGAGCGAACAGGAUUAGAUACCCUGGUAGUCCACGCCGUAAACGAUGGAUACUAGCUGUCCGGGUCCUUGAGACCUGGGCGGCCAAGCGAAAGUGAUAAGUAUCCCACCUGGGGAGUACGUUCGCAAGAAUGAAACUCAAAGGAAUUGACGGGGGCCCGCACAAGCGGUGGAGCAUGUGGGGUAAUUCGAUGAUACGCGAGGAACCUUACCAGGGCUUAAAUGCAUUUUGACAGGGGUGGAGACAUCCCCUUUUUUCCUUCGGGCAAUUUGCAAGGUGCUGCAUGGUUGUCGUCAGCUCGUGCCGUGAGGUGUCAGGUUAAGUCCUAUAACGAGCGCAACCCCUACCGUUAGUUGCCAGCAUGUCAUGAUGGGGACUCUAACGGGACUGCCGGUGCAAACCGUGAGGAAGGUGGGGAUGACGUCAAAUCAUCACGGCCCUUACGUCCUGGGCCACACACGUGCUACAAUGGCAGGUACAGAGAGCAGCCACGUCGCAAGGCGGAGCGAAUCUAUAAAACCUGUCACAGUUCGGAUCGGGGUCUGCAACUCGACGCCCGUGACUCUGGAAUCGCUAGUCUUCGGAUAUCAGCCAUGAUCCUGUGAACUACGUUCCCGGGCCUUGUACACACCGCCCGUCAAGCCAUGGAAGCCGGGAGUGCCUGAAGUCCGUCACCGUAAGGAGCGGCCUAGGGCAAGAUCGGUAACUAGGGCUAAGUCGUAACCAAAGUAGCCGUACCGGAAGGUGCGGCUUCCC
Molecule: ribosomal RNA, 1509 nt
Filed under: Maribacter sp. DIK293
Lineage: Bacteria; Pseudomonadati; Bacteroidota; Flavobacteriia; Flavobacteriales; Flavobacteriaceae
Description: bacterial SSU rRNA
Rfam family: Bacterial small subunit ribosomal RNA
Source: RNAcentral